GGGUUCUGUGGCUGGUGAGCGGCGGGGCAGGGAUCGUUGCCGUGUUUACCGGGAGUGCGGCAAAACGUAUCGGGAUGCGGGGCGUUUACCGGCUUUCGCAGAUUUUCAUGGCCGCCUCGCUGCUGGCUCUGGGCCGUUACUGACGCUGAGGAGCGAAAGCGUGGGGAGCGAACAGGAUUAGAUACCCUGGUAGUCCACGCCGUAAACGGUGGAUGCUGG
Molecule: ribosomal RNA, 219 nt
Filed under: Leclercia adecarboxylata
Lineage: Bacteria; Pseudomonadati; Pseudomonadota; Gammaproteobacteria; Enterobacterales; Enterobacteriaceae
Description: partial 16S ribosomal RNA
Rfam family: Bacterial small subunit ribosomal RNA
Source: RNAcentral